This 1090-nucleotide ribosomal RNA is filed under the name Fitzroya cupressoides. Its description in RNAcentral is "eukaryotic LSU rRNA". The stretch from base 674 to 827 matches the Rfam family "5.8S ribosomal RNA". The record is from RNAcentral. Lineage: Eukaryota; Viridiplantae; Streptophyta; Pinopsida; Cupressales; Cupressaceae.
AAUGCCGCCUGCCAAACUUGCNAACUCUCCGCCCCUUGGCCACCACRACAUKCGGACGACUUCNNUCAYNCUUNNNNNUACUACUUUACUANAUUCAAAUCCCGUGUCCCCUGGAUCAAGGNNUUAUCACUGYCCUSAUCGAAUUCAUGCUUUGCAUGGUGCGGCGCGAGGCUCGAGUUUGUUGCAAAUGCAACUGGUGCGAAAGAGGUCCUGCACAGUUGCAGUUUUGGAAGAAAUUCGAGUCGUCUGCCCCUUAUCCAGGUGAGACAUGCUUUCGAUUGCGUGCGCAGCGCUGUACCAAGGAUCCGUCGUUUCGACGACGGCGAGCUGGGAGCGCCGCAACCACCCGUUGUGUCGCAAAGGUGAAAAAGACGGUGCUCUGAGAGAUUUGUUCGGCGCAGACGUGUGCACCCGCAGGACCCCUCGUCUCCCGAUAUAUCUCUUCUCGGACGCCGUCCACACUUUCGAUGCGCGGGGCGGGGACACAUCUCCUCUCAAUGCAUGCCCUCUUCGUUGAGGCACGUCCUCUCGAUUAGGGGGCUGCAGCGAGGGCGGGAUGUGUCAAAAUCAACACAUAGGUGCAAUGCGCCUUCGAAAUCCAAACACUGAGGCGGGAUGCGAGCGCCUUGCGUGUUCGCCUCGCCGGAAAGGCAAGAAAUUGCAAAUUAAAUACGACUCUCGGCAACGGAUAUCUCGGCUCUCGCCACGAUGAAGAAUGUAGCGAAAUGCGAUACUUAGUGUGAAUUGCAGAAUCCCGUGAAUCAUCGAGUCUUUGAACGCAAGUUGCGCCCGAGGCUUUGGCCGAGGGCACGUCUGCUUGGGCGUCGCACUCUAAAAUYGCCCUCCGGCUCGGAGGAGCGCAAAUGGCCAUCCGUGCCAAACAACGGUGCGGUCGGCUGAAAUGAGCACAAGAUCCGACAUCCCGUUGCGACGAGCGGUGGCCUUGACGGGUCGGCGUUGGUUUGCGCGGGUCUGUAAGUCGGGCGAGUGAGGAACUUUGAUUGGACCCCAGCAGCUCGCCGGUGCGCUGGCGUGUCUGUUGGGCCGCUACCGCGUCCCCAAGUCAGGCGUGAAUACCCGCUGAGUUUAG